RNAcentral lists this ribosomal RNA (274 nucleotides) under uncultured bacterium. Its description in RNAcentral is "partial 16S ribosomal RNA". It matches the Rfam family "Bacterial small subunit ribosomal RNA", at positions 523 to 796 of the family's 1533-position model. The record is from RNAcentral.
AUACAGAGGGUGCAAGCGUUAAUCGGAAUUACUGGGCGUAAAGCGCACGUAGGUGGUUCAUUAAGUCAGAUGUGAAAGCCCCGGGCUCAACCUGGGAACUGCAUUUGAAACUGGUGAACUAGAGUAUGGUAGAGGUAAGUGGAAUUUCUAGUGUAGCGGUGAAAUGCGUAGAUAUUAGAAGGAACAUCAGUGGCGAAGGCGACUUACUGGACCAAUACUGACACUGAGGUGCGAAAGCGUGGGGAGCAAACGGGAUUAGAAACCCUAGUAGUCC